GAGUUUGAUCCUGGCUCAGAUUGAACGCUGGCGGCGUGCCUAACACAUGCAAGUCGUGCGAGAAAGUGGGCUUCGGCCCGCGAGUACAGCGGCGCACGGGUGAGUAACACGUGGGUGAUCUCCCUAACAGAUUGGGAUAACAGCGGGAAACUGCUGCUAAUACCGGAUACGAUCCAUUUAAUCGUGGAUGAAAGGCGGCCUCUGCUUGCAAGCUGCCACUGUUAGAUGAGCCCGCGUCCCAUUAGCUUGUUGGCGGGGUAACGGCCCACCAAGGCGACGAUGGGUAGCUGGUCUGAGAGGAUGACCAGCCACACUGGGACUGAAACACGGCCCAGACUCCUACGGGAGGCAGCAGUGGGGAAUAUUGCGCAAUGGGCGAAAGCCUGACGCAGCGACGCCGUGUGAGGGAAGAAGGCCUUCGGGUCGUAAACCUCUGUCAGAAGGGAAGAACCCCCAAGGUUCGAAUAGGGCUUUGGGCUGACGGUACCUUCAGAGGAAGCACCGGCUAAUUCCGUGCCAGCAGCCGCGGUAAUACGGAAGGUGCAAGCGUUAAUCGGAAUUACUGGGCGUAAAGCGCACGUAGGCUGCUUUGUAAGUCGGAUGUGAAAGCCCUCGGCCCAACCGGGGAACUGCAUUCGAAACUGCAAGGCUGGAGUCCUGGAGAGGGUGGCGGAAUUCCCGGUGUAGGAGUGAAAUCCGUAGAUAUCGGGAGGAACACCAGUGGCGAAGGCGGCCACCUGGACAGGUACUGACGCUGAGGUGCGAAAGUGUGGGGAGCAAACAGGAUUAGAUACCCUGGUAGUCCACACCGUAAACGAUGGAUGCUAGGUGUCGGGGAGUAUUCUUCGGCGCCGUAGCUAACGCGUUAAGCAUCCCGCCUGGGA
This 884-nucleotide ribosomal RNA is filed under the name bacterium enrichment culture clone 080213-ABM-Friedland 20-06. RNAcentral describes it as "bacterial SSU rRNA". It matches the Rfam family "Bacterial small subunit ribosomal RNA", at positions 9 to 873 of the family's 1533-position model. The record is from RNAcentral.